Molecule: long non-coding RNA, 574 nt
Organism: Aegilops tauschii subsp. strangulata
Lineage: Eukaryota; Viridiplantae; Streptophyta; Magnoliopsida; Poales; Poaceae
Source: RefSeq, a predicted model, not a curated record
ACCUCAAGUGACGACGCCAUCCCGCGAGCUCCACCGCGCCUGCAAGGGCCACGCCGGACUUCCUACCACGGUGACGUCUGGAGAGAGCGAGCUUCGACUGCUGCGGCGGCCGCAGCGGCAACACCAUCACCUGGGAGAGUUCGGGGAGAUCGGUCGGGAUCCGUCGCCGCCGCCUCUGGUCUCGCCUCCAACCGCCACUAACGGUCGUCUUCCUCUGCAAAUGACGCCGCCGCAUUGCCUCCGCGCCUCAUGCCGCCUUGCUGGCCGCCGUGUAGGACAGUGAGAGGGGAUUGAGAUGGAGUUGGAGAGGCGGAGGGAGUGAGGGAUGCUGAUGACUAUGGAGAGAGUGGGGGCGAGUUGAGGGUGACGCUGGGUAGGUGAAUUUUUUGGGGGGUUGUGUCACUCAUGUUUAUUAAUAUGAUUUGUAUAUAUUUAUAUGUAAUUAGUGGUACCCAGCUUUUUAUUGCAAACAAAAAUGUGUUAGCCUCACUUUUUUAAAUAUAUUUUAUAUGUUUAUUUAUAUAAUGUAGUAUAAAAUUAUUAAAAUAUUUUUAUCAAUUCCACUUUUGUUCAU